GUUUGAACAGCUAAUGACAACACUGCUACUGAGACUCCACCCAGUCUCAGAGUAAGCACGCUGAAGUGCUGUGA
RNAcentral lists this small nucleolar RNA (74 nucleotides) under Marmota monax (woodchuck). Lineage: Eukaryota; Metazoa; Chordata; Mammalia; Rodentia; Sciuridae. The record is from RNAcentral.